UCCUACGGGGCGCAGCAGUAGGGAAUUUUCGUCAAUGGGCGCAAGCCUGAACGAGCAAUGCCGCGUGAACGAGGAAGGUCUUCGGAUCGUAAAGUUCUGUUGAAGGGGAAAAAGAGCGGAGAGAGGAAAUGGUCUCCGAUUGAUAUUACCCUUCGAGGAAGUCACGGCUAACUACGUGCCAGCAGCCGCGGUAAUCCGUAGGUGGCGAGCGUUAUCCGGAAUGAUUGGGCGUAAAGGGUGCGUAGGCGGCCUGCUAAGUCUGGAGUGAAAGGUACCGGCUCAACCGGUACCGGCUCUGGAAACUG
RNAcentral lists this ribosomal RNA (305 nucleotides) under uncultured bacterium. Its description in RNAcentral is "bacterial SSU rRNA". It matches the Rfam family "Bacterial small subunit ribosomal RNA", at positions 337 to 635 of the family's 1533-position model. The record is from RNAcentral.